AUAGACGGAGGAAACCCGAAUGGAUCCGGUCAACGUCGCUGGCAUCAUGAUUCUCCUUGGUAUCGUUGCGAUAUUUGCCGUGACGUGGCUCAAGGCCCAGGAGUAAAUCAGGGACUGAUCGUUUCCUGUUCCAGACCUGGAUUCGUUAACGGAGGCCGUCCUCGGUUGGUCUCAGGAUCUCCCUG
RNAcentral lists this small RNA (185 nucleotides) under Sinorhizobium meliloti 2011. RNAcentral describes it as "putative ncRNA". The record is from RNAcentral. Lineage: Bacteria; Pseudomonadati; Pseudomonadota; Alphaproteobacteria; Hyphomicrobiales; Rhizobiaceae.